This is a long non-coding RNA of Ornithodoros turicata, 199 nucleotides long. RefSeq lists it as uncharacterized. NCBI's taxonomy places the organism in Eukaryota, Metazoa, Arthropoda, Arachnida, Ixodida, Argasidae. The record is from RefSeq and is a predicted model, not a curated record. The transcript is spliced from 3 exons.
CAGGCCUCCCUGUCAAUCAGGAGCACUGGCCGGACGACUAUCCCCCUAGAAUUACUUCAGGCCAGGGCCGUUCUGGAGGUGCACUGCCACAGGAGGUCGAACCACGAAUCGUUGAUUGGCUUAUCAAAAUUAUGUGCAAGAUUGUCGGAUUAUGUUCGUAACGGAAAUGAAGUGAAUAAAGGACGGUAGCGCCUUGUCA